This 468-nucleotide ribosomal RNA is filed under the name uncultured bacterium. RNAcentral describes it as "partial 16S ribosomal RNA". It matches the Rfam family "Bacterial small subunit ribosomal RNA", at positions 28 to 507 of the family's 1533-position model. The record is from RNAcentral.
GACGAACGCUGGCGGCGUGCUUAACACAUGCAAGUCGAACGGAAAGGCCCUGCUUUUGUGUGGUGCUCGAGUGGCGAACGGGUGAGUAACACGUGAGUAACCUGCCCUUUACUUUGGGAUAACUUCAGGAAACUGGGGCUAAUACCGGAUAGGAGCUCCUGCUGCAUGGUGUGGGUUGGAAAGUUUCGGCGGUUGGGGAUGGACUCGCGGCUUAUCAGCUUGUUGGUGGGGUAGUGGCUUACCAAGGCUUUGACGGGUAGCCGGCAUGGGAGGGUGAACGGCGACAUUGGGACUGAGGUAGGCACCAGACUCCUACGGGAGGCAGCAGUGGGGAAUAUUGCACAAUGGGCGGAAGCCUGAUGCAGCAACGCCGCGUGCGGGAUGACGGCCUAGGGGUUGUAAACCGCUUUAGCCUGUGACGAAGCGUGAGUGACGGUAAUGGGUAAAGAAGCACCGGCUAACUACGUG